Molecule: long non-coding RNA, 2793 nt
Organism: Catharus ustulatus (Swainson's thrush)
Lineage: Eukaryota; Metazoa; Chordata; Aves; Passeriformes; Turdidae
Exons: 3
Source: RefSeq, a predicted model, not a curated record
CUUUCUUGCCAUCGUUCUCGUGCGGCUGCUCAAGAUUCUAGGCAAAAAAAGACUUGAGAAAUUGCAUGUAUAAUUCUCCUGCAGGAGAGCAAGCUCUGUUAAAAUGCCGUGCCAGUGAUUUCUCUUCUUACUGCUCACAAAAGAAGUAAAAGGAUCUCUCCAUUCUGCAUACGAUUGCUUUUCUCCCUUCAACUCCGAGCCAAAAAUAAAUCUACUGCUCGGAUCGGCUGAAUGACAGUGGUGUAAAUUAAAUUGAUUUUAUCAGUGACCAAGUUCUACAAUUGGAAAAAUUAAAUGCCACUUUGACAGACAAGGAUAAUAUGGAACAGAUCCAUAAAACAGCUCCUUCGAACAACAACACCACCAACCCAACAGGAGCCUAGAUACUGGCGAGCUCUUCUUCUUCAUCCUGCUCCACUAUGUCACAUCGUCUAGUUUGCCUUUCUGCAGUACCAAAAUGAUUGAAACCAUUGUUUAAUGCAAAGGGAGUAGUGAUGAUGAGUCAUGGACUUUAUGCCACAGCAAAAGCAACAGACGUGGUUCUCAGGCAAAUUUCUUUUUUUAUUUUGAUCGCGCUUCUAAUUGGAUUCCCCUCUCAGAUGUACUUUGCGGCACUUCCAACCCACCCUUCAGCUCCGGCAAACUCGGGGUUGAGCUACAGGAGCGACGAGCCGCUCUGCCUCCACCUAAGAAUUGCAGAAACGCACCCUCCAAGUCCUUUAGCCAGGAAAACCCUACCUCAGCGCCUGCCGCCGGCCUCGCAAGGCGAGAGGAGGCCUUGAGCCACCUCAGCGCUCCCUGCGUGCCCGACCCGGCUCGGCCGGGCUCUGCUGGGUUCGCUGCCCGCCCGCCGGGGCCUGCCUGCCGCAGAGACACCGCGCAGCUCCGGGACGGGGGACCCGGCCGGGCGGCGCGGGUCUGGGAUUGUGCCGGGUUUCAAGGACACGGGAGAUGAUCAGGACUUUGGGAGCCAACAUCUGCCUGGUUGGUGACGUCAGCAACCCCGUGUAAUCCUCUUGUACUGAAGGCAGAUGCCUUAUUUGUUUGGCUGGAGAGGCAUUAAUCCCUAAUUCUGGAGCAGCAAGCGAGGGGGAGAGACCGGACCGCUUCCUAUCCCCCGAAAGCAGCCAGAGGGGCUCUUCUCUCCGCACUCCGCGGCUCCCACUGGGUGGAGGAGCCGCCAGCCCUCGUCAGGCGGCCGCACGCAGGAGCUACGGUGCCGAGGGGGGCCGGAGCCGCCUUCCCAGUUUGCCCCUGGAUGCCCCGGCAAGCCACGGGAAAAGUCUCUGAGAAACCCAGCUCGCCGCAGGAUCCCGGCCGCCGCCUGCAGCCGCAGCACAUCCCGCUUCGCCUCCUCUCUCUCUCCCGGGCCCUGGCGCCGAGGAAGCAGUCGAGGUCAGCUGCCCGGUUCCUGGGGUCCGGCCGUGGCCGAGCCCGCAGGGUGAUACAAGGUGCCCGGCCGCUCAGCUCCUCCCCGGCGCGCCGUCGGCACCGAAAAGGAAUGGUCCCGAUCCUGAGCCGUGAAAGAUGGCAAAAAGCGUAACAAUAAUGAUAAUAAUAAUAAAAUCUUAGGCUAUUUUUUAAAAUUAUUGUAAUGACUUCACCCCUCAUUUCCUCACUCGCCAGUUCAGUGUAGGCAAGCCAGAUGGGCUGCCCAGACCCUCCCGGGAAAGGGGCAGGUGCGAGUGAGUUAAAUUUUUUUCUGCUUUACAAAGAAAGAUGACACGUCCUGCCCUUUCAUUUUUCAUCGCCGAAAGAUACCCUCUUCCCCCCCUCCGCCCUCCCCCUGGACGAGGAGAGCAGGGAUGCUCUGGGGGUGCGGGCCUCCCCCACCCGUGCUCCAGGGGAGCCGCAGAACCAGGCGGACCGAGACAGCCGGAAAGACACGGUCAUUCCUCUCAGCCAGGGAUGCCAAAUGACAGACGUCGAGCCGGGGAGAGUCAACUCCUAUGUUUAAAAUCACGAGAAGAAGCUGGUGAAAUGAAAGCAGACGUCUGGAAGUGUGCAAUAGGCACACGUUUAUUUUAUGACUUUUUUUUUUUUUAAUCGAUUAAUACAUAUUUAACAGCUUCCUGAGCAUUGCAGACAACAGACUGGCUAGUAAGAAAACUCGAGCCUGAGUUAUAUAUGCAGUCCGGGCCAGAAUGUGACUAGGGCGGAGGGAAAUUGUGGGUUAGUUUGUUGUUGUUUUUUUUUUUUUUCGGGGAUCAGUUGCUGUUCUGCUGAGAGAGAGAGAGGGAGAGAGAGAGAGCGCUCUAAGGCUCUGACUCUCCGUGUUCACAGCGGACCUUGAUUUAAUGUCAUACAAUUAAGGCACGCGGUGAAUGCCAAGAGCGGAUCCUCAAAGCAGCAUGAAAGAUCUCGCUAGAACAUACCAUCACAAUAAUGAUAAUAAUAAAAAAUAUUUGCAAUUAGCUAAUAUAUAUAUAAACAAAACAAAAAAGCAAACAAACAAACAAAAAAAAAAGGAAAAAAAAGAAAGAAAGAAAGAAAGAAAGAAAAGGAGAGACAAAGCAAUAAAGAGCUCGACAACCUGUACUCACCUACGGAAACCGAGACUAACUAGGACUGGUGGACUGAUUGGCUCAGCCCGGUGGAAAGGAGAUGCCGCUGCCACGGGACGGGCGCCCGCGGGGGCAGCUGUCAGCAGCAGGUAACGGGGCCGUGGGGGGCUACUGGAGCGGUGCGGUAGCCGUGGUGGUUUUUCAAGGUAGUCAUGACUCGACCUCUCCCUUUCUUGGGCUGAACCAUGUAAAGUCGAUUAAUGGGAAAUAAAUACGUUUUCUGAUAUUA